Molecule: small RNA, 1720 nt
Filed under: Pan troglodytes (chimpanzee)
Lineage: Eukaryota; Metazoa; Chordata; Mammalia; Primates; Hominidae
Description: retained intron
Source: RNAcentral
CUUCUAUACAACCGUGGAGCCAGGGCAAGGGAGAGACAGAAGGAGCAAGUGACCCAGGGAGACAAACACUUGGAGAUACUUGGGGCUGAGUUUGAGCAAGACUCCCUAACCUGUGUCUGGACAAGUCUGAUGUCCUGUGUGGCCCAAGAAGAACUGACCCCGUGUCUGGAGCUCCCACCGUUAUUGCAUCCCUGCUGUGGCUCACCUGCUGCUGUCUCCAGGAGCCCCUGAGAAGAUUUGCUUCCUCUCCCCUGCUAAGCUCCAGGUCCUGAGAUUGAAUUAGGGGCUGGAGCUCACUGCACUCCAGCAGUCAUGGGACCCAGGAUAGGUGGUAUCAGCCUGACCAUAAAGGACCCCCGAUGGGUGGGUGCCUGGUGGCUGGGUUUCCUCAUCGCUGCCGGUGCAGUGGCCCUGGCUGCCAUCCCCUACUUCUUCUUCCCCAAGGAAAUGCCCAAGGAAAAACGUGAGCUUCAGUUUCGGCGAAAGGUCUUAGCAGUCACAGACUCACCUGCCAGGAAGGGCAAGGACUCUCCCUCUAAGCAGAGCCCUGGGGAGUCCACGAAGAAGCAGGAUGGCCUAGUCCAGAUUGCACCAAACCUGACUGUGAUCCAGUUCAUUAAAGUCUUCCCCAGGGUGCUGCUGCAGACCCUACGCCACCCCAUCUUCCUGCUGGUGGUCCUGUCCCAGGUAUGCUUGUCAUCCAUGGCUGCGGGCAUGGCCACCUUCCUGCCCAAGUUCCUGGAGCGUCAGUUUUCCAUCACAGCCUCCUACGCCAACCUGCUCAUCGGCUGCCUCUCCUUCCCUUCGGUCAUCGUGGGCAUCGUGGUGGGUGGCGUCCUGGUCAAGCGGUUCCACCUGGGCCCUGUGGGAUGCGGUGCCCUUUGCCUGCUGGGGAUGCUGCUGUGCCUCUUCUUCAGCCUGCCGCUCUUCUUUAUCGGCUGCUCCAGCCACCAGAUUGCGGGCAUCACACACCAGACCAGUGCCCACCCUGGGCUGGAGCUGUUUCCAAGCUGCAUGGAGGCCUGCUCCUGCCCAUUGGACGGCUUUAACCCUGUCUGCGACCCCAGCACUCGUGUGGAAUACAUCACACCCUGCCACGCAGGCUGCUCAAGCCGGGUGGUCCAGGAUGCUCUGGACAAAAGCCAGGUUUUCUACACCAACUGCAGCUGCGUGGUGGAGGGCAACCCCGUGCUGGCAGGAUCCUGCGACUCAACGUGCAGCCAUCUGGUGGUGCCCUUCCUGCUCCUGGUCAGCCUGGGCUCGGCCCUGGCCUGUCUCACCCACACACCCUCCUUCAUGCUCAUCCUAAGAGGAGUGAAGAAAGAAGACAAGACUUUGGCUGUGGGCAUCCAGUUCAUGUUCCUGAGGAUUUUGGGUAAAGAUCUUGCUUGGGACCAUUGGUGGUGGUGAUGGGGUCCAGAUGCCCACUGUGUGCCAGGCCUGGGGCACAGGCAUGAGCGGAACUCAAUCCCUGAUCUUAGGGCUCACAAGCUCAUGGGGUGACAGACCUGGCCCAGCUCUCCUAGAGCGGGGUAUAGAGGCAGAGUCUAGACAGCCCGUCAGGAAGCCACCUCGGAUGCAGGGGUGGGGCGGGCUUGAGGGCCAGACAGCCAAGAGGCCCCAGUAACCCAGAGCCCCUGAGGGGUUGUACAUGCCAGGGAGGGGGCAGGGUAGGACGGUGGGCCUUCAUUGUCCCCUGAGCACCACCUCCCUCAGCCUG